AGUUGACACAUCCCGUCCCAG
RNAcentral lists this unclassified non-coding RNA (21 nucleotides) under Mus musculus (house mouse). RNAcentral's name for it is "oocyte_clustered_small_RNA9860". Lineage: Eukaryota; Metazoa; Chordata; Mammalia; Rodentia; Muridae. The record is from RNAcentral.